RNAcentral lists this ribosomal RNA (575 nucleotides) under uncultured bacterium. RNAcentral describes it as "bacterial SSU rRNA". It matches the Rfam family "Bacterial small subunit ribosomal RNA", at positions 8 to 572 of the family's 1533-position model. The record is from RNAcentral.
AGAGUUUGAUCCUGGCUCGGGAUGAACGCUAGCGACAGGCUUAACACAUGCAAGUCGAGGGGCAGCGGGGAGGUAGCAAUACUUCCGCCGGCGACCGGCGCACGGGUGAGUAACACGUAUGGAACCUGCCCGUAGCAGGGGGAUAAGCGGAAGAAAUUCCGUCUAAUACCGCGUAAUAACUCCGAGAGGCAUCUCUUGGGGUUUAAAGGGUAACACCGGCUACGGAUGGCCAUGCGGCGCAUUAGCUAGUUGGCGGGGUAACGGCCCACCAAGGCGACGAUGCGUAGGGGUUCUGAGAGGAAGGUCCCCCACACUGGUACUGAGACACGGACCAGACUCCUACGGGAGGCAGCAGUGAGGAAUAUUGGUCAAUGGGCGCGAGCCUGAACCAGCCAAGUCGCGUGAGGGAAGACGGUCCUAUGGAUUGUAAACCUCUUUUGUCGGGGAGCAAAAGGCGCCACGUGUGGCGUUCCGAGAGUACCCGAAGAAAAAGCAUCGGCUAACUCCGUGCCAGCAGCCGCGGUAAUACGGAGGAUGCGAGCGUUAUCCGGAUUUAUUGGGUUUAAAGGGUGCGC